GAUGAACGCUGGCGGCGUGCCUAAUACAUGCAAGUCGAGCGAACAGAUGAGGAGCUUGCUCCUCUGACGUUAGCGGCGGACGGGUGAGUAACACGUGGAUAACCUACCUAUAAGACUGGGAUAACUUCGGGAAACCGGAGCUAAUACCGGAUAAUAUAUUGAACCGCAUGGUUCAAUAGUGAAAGACGGUUUUGCUGUCACUUAUAGAUGGAUCCGCGCCGCAUUAGCUAGUUGGUAAGGUAACGGCUUACCAAGGCAACGAUGCGUAGCCGACCUGAGAGGGUGAUCGGCCACACUGGAACUGAGACACGGUCCAGACUCCGACGGGAGGCAGCAGUAGGGAAUCUUCCGCAAUGGGCGAAAGCCUGACGGAGCAACGCCGCGUGAGUGAUGAAGGUCUUCGGAUCGUAAAACUCUGUUAUUAGGGAAGAACAAAUGUGUAAGUAACUAUGCACGUCUGGACGGUACCUAAUCAGAAAGCCACGGCUAACUACGU
RNAcentral lists this ribosomal RNA (496 nucleotides) under uncultured bacterium. RNAcentral describes it as "partial 16S ribosomal RNA". It matches the Rfam family "Bacterial small subunit ribosomal RNA", at positions 28 to 506 of the family's 1533-position model. The record is from RNAcentral.